Long non-coding RNA from Patella vulgata (common limpet), 2204 nucleotides. RefSeq lists it as uncharacterized. The transcript is spliced from 6 exons. NCBI's taxonomy places the organism in Eukaryota, Metazoa, Mollusca, Gastropoda, Patellidae. The record is from RefSeq and is a predicted model, not a curated record.
GAAAAAUUUCGGCAUGUUAUUAUCAAAUCUGUUCAAUUUUUCUGAAAUCGUGCUUAAUUAACAUUAGUUGUUCGGCGCUACGAUGUUGUUCAAAUACGUACAUUACAGAAUCACAUUAUGAUUAAACCAGAAACGGCUCGACUUGAACCAGCAGUCAGUGAUGAUAUGACUCAUUCCACCUUACAGUUACAGCAAUUACCGUAUUGAGAAUUUACCGUUCAAGGACUCCAUUUUGGCAUUGAAUUGGAAUUUGAAGAAAAACUGUUUCAAUAUUGGAUGUAUAUGCAAAUCACCCAGGAAAAGAUCAUGUAACAAAAGAAAUUAUAAAAGUAAAAAAAUGGAAGAAGAAAUGGCUGGAAAAAAUGAUGAUAGAGCAGCUUUUUCUUGUUAGCCACCUCGGAAGAUCAAGACAGCUGGAAAGGGCUAUUGAUAUUGUGGAAGUGUUUUCUUACAGAGGUUGCUUAUCAGACAAAGGCUAUUUAACUACAUCAGAAAGAUAAAAACAGUUGGAAAUGGCUAUUCAUAUUGUGGAAACUUUUCUCACAGAGCUUGAUAAUCAGGCAAAAUGCUGGAACACCCUUGAAAGAGUAUUUGGUGUAUGAUAACAACAAGAGAACCCAAGCAUCAAUUUAUUUUAUACUUCUGGGAAAGAAUGCAUUUGACCCAAUUUUUAAAUAUUUAUUUUUUGUUAUUAAUGUUAAAUUUUCUUCCAAAACACAAUUAGAUUUUAAUUCUCUUCAAAUAUGUAUGUAUAAUAUAGCAAGUAAACUGACAUAUAAAUCACUUAGAAUUUGGUCGGAAAUCAUAAAGUAUUUAAUAGGCAUUACUAGAAACCAAAUGUAGAUCAAAUACACCCAGAAUUACAAAAAACCUUGACCUACAUUAAGGUGACUUUCCCUUGCUUAUGAAAUGAAAUACGUUUUAAUAUCCUGCUUUUCUGUGUUCUUAGAGUGAUUCUACCCUACCCUUAUAUCAAAUAUUUCAACUGUCAAGGGUUCUUUAAAGGGUACCCAGGGGGGCCGAAUGGUUAACACGCACACAUUUGAUCAGAAGGUCUGUCAUUGAUUCAAAUAAUUCAAUUUUCAAGGGUUCUUCAAAGUGUACGCAGUUGGGUUGGUUUCAAUUCUGGGGGGUUGGGGUGGAUGGCCGAAUGGUUAGCACGUGCAUGCUGUAUCAUACGGCCUCCUGUCAUUGAGUCAACUGGCAUGGUUUUGAAUCCCCGGUUGUAGACAAGGAGUAGGGUCGCCUGUCCAAUCUUGUGGGUUUUCUCCGGGACUUCUGGUUUCCUCCCACUGCUAAAGACCCCUACGCGCUAGCGAAUUAUUGAAAUAAAAUUAAACCAUAUGUUAGUCCCAAAAUGAUCUAGUUUGUGUCGAGUAGACGUUAAACCCCAUUUCUCUCUGUCUCUCUCUCUUUUGAUUCUGGGCUUGUACCCAAUUAUCCCUUGCCAUAUCCAACACUGAAAAGUGGGAACUAUGCCGGAAAAUCCAGUUGAAAUUUCGCGGCCAACGCCUUAUGCUCACUGAACCACUGUGGCUUAUGACUUUGUAUUGUAUAUAAAUCUUUUGUACAUAUGAUAUUUUUUUAUUUCAAUCCUGUAAUCUUGAUACUUUGCUUCUUUUAUUUAUAAAAUAUUCAUUUUGUUUGGGUUUUUUUUAAUGAGGAAAAGGCUCUACAUCAUUUUAUUACUCCUGCAAAAUAGAGCAAUUUUCUUUUGUUAGUUUUCUGUGUAUGCUAGUUAUUUCUAGAUGCCUCACAAAUCACUUGUAGUGUGAUUUUGUAGCAUUUUUCAGUUUUUGAAAUUGUUUCAAUUUAGUGCAUAAUUAAUCUUAUUAGUGCUUAGUUUGGAUGUUAUUAAAUUUAGAUAUAUUUGAAUUAUAUAUUUUGGGGUAUGGGGUAGGGAUACUGUGUACAUAUCUUUAUAUUCUCAGUUCUUGUUUUGGGGUAAAGAACAAUUUAAAUAGCUAUUUUAUAUUUUGUGAUGGGUAAAGUGUGUGGGGCAAAAAAACAAUUUAAAUAGCUAUUUUAUAUUUUGUGAUGGGUAAAGUGGGGGGGGGGGGAGGGGUCAUUAUAUAUAACACAAUAUAAUUUGUAUUAGAAUUGAAGUCUCUGUUUUUCUGUUAACAUUUCAAAUAUCUAUUUAGUUUUGAUGUAUUAAUUUACUUUUUCCUAUGAUUUUAUGAAUAAAUAAUAAUCUUACAAAA